RNAcentral lists this ribosomal RNA (497 nucleotides) under uncultured bacterium. RNAcentral's name for it is "partial 16S ribosomal RNA". It matches the Rfam family "Bacterial small subunit ribosomal RNA", at positions 28 to 507 of the family's 1533-position model. The record is from RNAcentral.
GAUGAACGCUGGCGGCGUGCCUAAUACAUGCCAGUCGAGCGAACAGACGAGGAGCUUGCUCCUCUGACGUUAGCGGCGGACGGGUGAGUAACACGUGGAUAACCUACCUAUAAGACUGGGAUAACUUCGGGAAACCGGAGCUAAUACCGGAUAAUAUAUUGAACAGCAUGGUUCAAUAGUGAAAGACGGUUUUGCUGUCACUUAUAGAUGGAUCCGCGCCGCAUUAGCUAGUUGGUAAGGUAACGGCUUACCAAGGCAACGAUGCGUAGCCGACCUGAGAGGGUGAUCGGCCACACUGGAACUGAGACACGGUCCAGACUCCUACUGGAGGCAGCAGUAGGGAAUCUUCCGCAAUGGGCGAAAGCCUGACGGGGCAACGCCGCGUGAGUGAUGAAGGUCUUCGGAUCGUAAAACUCUGUUAUUAGGGAAGAACAAAUGUGUAAGUAACUAUGCACGUCUUGACGGUACCUAAUCAGAAAGCCACGGCUAACUACGUG